This 403-nucleotide ribosomal RNA is filed under the name uncultured bacterium. Its description in RNAcentral is "bacterial SSU rRNA". It matches the Rfam family "Bacterial small subunit ribosomal RNA", at positions 29 to 424 of the family's 1533-position model. The record is from RNAcentral.
AAUGAACGCUGGCGGCGCGCCUAAUACAUGCAAGUCGAGCGAGAAGACGUAGCAAUACGUUUGUAAAGCGGCGAACGGGUGAGGAAUACAUGGGUAACCUACCCUAGAGUGGGGAAUAACUAGCCGAAAGGUUAGCUAAUACCGCGUACGCUCCUUGGACUUCGGUCCAGGGAGGAAAGCGAUGCCGAGGGUAUCGCGCUCUUGGGUGGGCUCAUGUCCUAUCAGCUUGUUGGUGAGGUAACGGCUCACCAAGGCUUCGACGGGUAGCUGGUCUGAGAGGACGAUCAGCCACACUGGCACUGCGACACGGGCCAGACUCCUACGGGAGGCAGCAGUAAGGAAUAUUGCGCAAUGGGCGAAAGCCUGACGCAGCGACGCCGCGUGGGGGAUGACGGCCUCGGUU